RNAcentral lists this ribosomal RNA (1228 nucleotides) under metagenome. RNAcentral's name for it is "bacterial LSU rRNA". It matches the Rfam family "Bacterial large subunit ribosomal RNA", at positions 1708 to 2925 of the family's 2925-position model. The record is from RNAcentral.
GGGAACUCGGUAAAUUGCAUCCGUAACUUCGGGAGAAGGAUGACCCUGAGUAGGCGAAAGGGAGAAACCCCCGGAACAGAAAAGGGUGGCAGAAAAGAGGCCCAAGCAACUGUUUACCAAAAACACAGGUGCCUGCGAAAGCGAAAGCUGAAGUAUAGGUGCUGACGCCUGCCCGGUGCUGGAAGGUUAAGGAGAGAGGUCAGCGAAAGCGAAGCUUUGAACUGAAGCCCCAGUGAACGGCGGCCGUAACUAUAACGGUCCUAAGGUAGCGAAAUUCCUUGUCGGGUAAGUUCCGACCCGCAUGAAAGGCGUAAUGAUUUGGGCACUGUCUCAACGAGGGGCCCGGUGAAAUUGAAAUACCUGUGAAGAUGCAGGUUACCCGCGACUGGACAGAAAGACCCCAUGGAGCUUCACUGCAGCUUGAGAUUGAAUCCCGGUGACAUAUGCACAGGAUAGGUGGGAGGCUAAGAAGUAAUGCCUUUGGGUGUUACAGAGCCGAUGUUGGGAUACCACCCUUAUGUUGCUGAGAUUCUAACACGGAGACUAACAACCUCGUGGACCAUCUCAGGCAGGCGGUUUGACUGGGGCGGUCGCCUCCUAAAAUGUAACGGAGGCGCCCAAAGGUUCCCUCAGGCCGGACAGAAACCGGCCGAAGAGUGCAAAGGCAGAAGGGAGCUUGACAGCGAGACAGACAAGUCGAGCAGAGACGAAAGUCGGGCUUAGUGAUCCGGUGGUACUGAGUGGAAAGGCCAUCGCUCAACGGAUAAAAGCUACCCUGGGGAUAACAGGCUAAUCUCUCCCAAGAGUUCAUAUCGACGGGGAGGUUUGGCACCUCGAUGUCGGCUCAUCACAUCCUGGAGCUGGAGUAGGUUCCAAGGGUUGGGCUGUUCGCCCAUUAAAGUGGUACGCGAGCUGGGUUCAAAACGUCGUGAGACAGUUUGGUUCAUAUCCAUCGCGGGCGCAAGAAGUUUGAGGGAGGCUGCUCCUAGUACGAGAGGACCGGAGUGGACGGAUCAACGGUGUACCAGUUGUCACGCCAGUGGCACGGCUGGAAAGCCGCAUCCGGAAAGGAUAAACGCUGAAAGCAUCUAAGCGUGAAGCCCGUCCCGAGAUGAGACUUCUCAUCAGCAAUGAGUAAGACCCCUUAAAGACGAUGAGGUUGAUAGGCUGUGAGUGGAAGUGGCGCAAGUCAUGGAGCGACGCAGUACUAAUAGGUCGAGGUCUUACC